UACGGAGGAUGCAAGCGUUAUCCGGAAUGAUUGGGCGUAAAGCGUCCGCAGGUGGCUAUGUAAGUCUGCUGUUAAAGAGUGAGGCUCAACCUCAUAAAAGCAGUGGAAACUACAUGGCUAGAGUGCGUUCGGGGCAGAGGGAAUUCCUGGUGUAGCGGUGAAAUGCGUAGAGAUCAGGAAGAACACCGGUGGCGAAGGCGCUCUGCUAGGCCGUAACUGACACUGAGGGACGAAAGCUAGGGGAGCGAAUGGG
RNAcentral lists this ribosomal RNA (253 nucleotides) under uncultured bacterium. Its description in RNAcentral is "partial 16S ribosomal RNA". It matches the Rfam family "Bacterial small subunit ribosomal RNA", at positions 524 to 776 of the family's 1533-position model. The record is from RNAcentral.